Molecule: non-coding RNA, 31 nt
Filed under: Rattus norvegicus (Norway rat)
Lineage: Eukaryota; Metazoa; Chordata; Mammalia; Rodentia; Muridae
Source: RNAcentral
UNCUAAGGUAUACCCAUGUCUGGCUAAAGGU